RNAcentral lists this long non-coding RNA (206 nucleotides) under Gallus gallus (chicken). Lineage: Eukaryota; Metazoa; Chordata; Aves; Galliformes; Phasianidae. The record is from RNAcentral.
GGGGAGUUUGGUGCUGUGGAAAAACCCUUGCUGUUGCUUCUAUUAGCUUUGAAAAACCCCAGAAAUCCUUUCUUUUCUUUUUCUAUUGCAUCGUUGCUUAGUGAAACACUUCGACUUGGUUCUCUGUAGUUCAGAGAAGGGUCAGACUGAGUUUUUGAUGGAGGAACUCUUUUUCGGUCCCAGGCGUACAGCUCGCUUAUUCCCAG